This is a long non-coding RNA of Penaeus monodon (black tiger shrimp), 425 nucleotides long. RefSeq lists it as uncharacterized. The record is from RefSeq and is a predicted model, not a curated record. NCBI's taxonomy places the organism in Eukaryota, Metazoa, Arthropoda, Malacostraca, Decapoda, Penaeidae. The transcript is spliced from 3 exons.
GUUUGGGAAGCACCAGACGCAGUAGUUCCAGCUGGCGAGGGAAUACCAUGCCCCCAGCGGCCCCUCCACCUCCACCCCCUCCUCCACUUCCUAGUGCUGCUGCUGCGGCGGCUACUUACCCUGGCAUUCUCUUACAUUUCUUGGCAAUGUUGUCGCAUCCAUCACUACACCAGUACAGUAUGGUAGACCCAGUGCCAGCAGAAGCCCCCGACACGGAGAACUACGAGGCUUUACUACAUCUGGCAGAGAGGCUGGGUGAGGCCAAAACCCAGAGGCCUUUUGAAAACAGUGAUUGACCAACUCCCGUCCUAUAGGUAUACAGGGGAGAAGUCUGACACUAAACAAACCACAUGUGUGAUUUGCAUGUGUGACUUCGAGCUUCGGCAGAUGUUACGAGUAUUACCGUGUCUCCACGAGUUCCACAC